This is an unclassified non-coding RNA of Ursus americanus (American black bear), 96 nucleotides long. Lineage: Eukaryota; Metazoa; Chordata; Mammalia; Carnivora; Ursidae. The record is from Ensembl.
GUCACUCGGUGUUCUCACCGAAAGCACGUAAUCGCCGGUGUAACUCAUGUUGGCUGGGGGGCCUCCAGGCGCGCGGGGAGGCUGAGGUGCGCCCCA